AGAGUUUGAUCCUGGCUCAGAAUCAACGCUGGCGGCGCGCUUAACACAUGCAAGUCGAACGAGAAAGUGGAGCAAUCCAUGAGUACAGUGGCGCACUGGUGAGUAACACGUGGGUAUCCACCUCUUUGUGGGGAAUAACAUUGGGAAACCGAUGCUAAUACCGCAUACGUCCGAGAGGAGAAAGCCGAAAGGCGCAGAGAGAGGAGCCCGCGCCCGAUUAGCUAGUUGGUAAGGUAAUGGCUUACCAAGGCGACGAUCGGUAGCCGGCCUGAGAGGGCACACGGCCACACUGGCACUGAAACACGGGCCAGACUCCUACGGGAGGCAGCAGUGGGGAAUCUUGCACAAUGGGGGAAACCCUGAUGCAGCGACGCCGCGUGAGUGAUGAAGCCCUUCGGGGUGUAAAGCUCUUUCGACAGGAACGAUAAUGACGGUACCUGAAGAAGAAGCUGCGGCUAACUACGUGCCAGCAGCCGCGGUAAUACGUAGGCAGCAAGCGUUGUUCGGAAUUACUGGGCGUAAAGAGUGCGUAGGUGGUUGGCUAAGUUUGGUGUGAAAUCUCCCGGCUCAACUGGGAGGGUGCGCCGAAAACUGGCUGGCUAGAGUGUGGGAGAGGGACGUGGAAUUCCUGGUGUAGCGGUGAAAUGCGUAGAUAUCAGGAGGAACACCUGCGGUGUAGACGGCGUCCUGGACCAUUACUGACACUGAGGCACGAAAGCGUGGGGAGCAAACAGGAUUAGAUACCCUGGUAGUCA
This 755-nucleotide ribosomal RNA is filed under the name uncultured bacterium. Its description in RNAcentral is "bacterial SSU rRNA". It matches the Rfam family "Bacterial small subunit ribosomal RNA", at positions 8 to 796 of the family's 1533-position model. The record is from RNAcentral.